AAAUUGAAGAGUUUGAUCAUGGCUCAGAUUGAACGCUGGCGGCAGGCCUAACACAUGCAAGUCGAGCGGUAGCACAGAGAGCUUGCUCUCGGGUGACGAGCGGCGGACGGGUGAGUAAUGUCUGGGAAACUGCCUGAUGGAGGGGGAUAACUACUGGAAACGGUAGCUAAUACCGCAUAAUGUCGCAAGACCAAAGUGGGGGACCUUCGGGCCUCAUGCCAUCAGAUGUGCCCAGAUGGGAUUAGCUAGUAGGUGGGGUAACGGCUCACCUAGGCGACGAUCCCUAGCUGGUCUGAGAGGAUGACCAGCCACACUGGAACUGAGACACGGUCCAGACUCCUACGGGAGGCAGCAGUGGGGAAUAUUGCACAAUGGGCGCAAGCCUGAUGCAGCCAUGCCGCGUGUGUGAAGAAGGCCUUCGGGUUGUAAAGCACUUUCAGCGGGGAGGAAGGCGUUAAGGUUAAUAACCUUGUCGAUUGACGUUACCCGCAGAAGAAGCACCGGCUAACUCCGUGCCAGCAGCCGCGGUAAUACGGAGGGUGCAAGCGUUAAUCGGAAUUACUGGGCGUAAAGCGCACGCAGGCGGUCUGUCAAGUCGGAUGUGAAAUCCCCGGGCUCAACCUGGGAACUGCAUUCGAAACUGGCAGGCUAGAGUCUUGUAGAGGGGGGUAGAAUUCCAGGUGUAGCGGUGAAAUGCGUAGAGAUCUGGAGGAAUACCGGUGGCGAAGGCGGCCCCCUGGACAAAGACUGACGCUCAGGUGCGAAAGCGUGGGGAGCAAACAGGAUUAGAUACCCUGGUAGUCCACGCCGUAAACGAUGUCGAUUUGGAGGUUGUGCCCUUGAGGCGUGGCUUCCGGAGCUAACGCGUUAAAUCGACCGCCUGGGGAGUACGGCCGCAAGGUUAAAACUCAAAUGAAUUGACGGGGGCCCGCACAAGCGGUGGAGCAUGUGGUUUAAUUCGAUGCAACGCGAAGAACCUUACCUGGUCUUGACAUCCACAGAACUUUCCAGAGAUGGAUUGGUGCCUUCGGGAACUGUGAGACAGGUGCUGCAUGGCUGUCGUCAGCUCGUGUUGUGAAAUGUUGGGUUAAGUCCCGCAACGAGCGCAACCCUUAUCCUUUGUUGCCAGCGGUUCGGCCGGGAACUCAAAGGAGACUGCCAGUGAUAAACUGGAGGAAGGUGGGGAUGACGUCAAGUCAUCAUGGCCCUUACGACCAGGGCUACACACGUGCUACAAUGGCAUAUACAAAGAGAAGCGACCUCGCGAGAGCAAGCGGACCUCAUAAAGUAUGUCGUAGUCCGGAUUGGAGUCUGCAACUCGACUCCAUGAAGUCGGAAUCGCUAGUAAUCGUAGAUCAGAAUGCUACGGUGAAUACGUUCCCGGGCCUUGUACACACCGCCCGUCACACCAUGGGAGUGGGUUGCAAAAGAAGUAGGUAGCUUAACCUUCGGGAGGGCGCUUACCACUUUGUGAUUCAUGACUGGGGUGAAGUCGUAACAAGGUAACCGUAGGGGAACCUGCGGUUGGAUCACCUCCUUA
Molecule: ribosomal RNA, 1540 nt
Filed under: Klebsiella pneumoniae
Lineage: Bacteria; Pseudomonadati; Pseudomonadota; Gammaproteobacteria; Enterobacterales; Enterobacteriaceae
Description: bacterial SSU rRNA
Rfam family: Bacterial small subunit ribosomal RNA
Source: RNAcentral